UACGGAGGGAGCUAGCGUUGUUCGGAAUUACUGGGCGUAAAGCGCACGUAGGCGGCUUUGUAAGUCAGAGGUGAAAGCCUGGAGCUCAACUCCAGAACUGCCUUUGAGACUGCAUCGCUUGAAUCCAGGAGAGGUGAGUGGAAUUCCGAGUGUAGAGGUGAAAUUCGUAGAUAUUCGGAAGAACACCAGUGGCGAAGGCGGCUCACUGGACUGGUAUUGACGCUGAGGUG
RNAcentral lists this ribosomal RNA (230 nucleotides) under uncultured microorganism. Its description in RNAcentral is "partial 16S ribosomal RNA". It matches the Rfam family "Bacterial small subunit ribosomal RNA", at positions 524 to 753 of the family's 1533-position model. The record is from RNAcentral.